UGGGGAAUAUUGCACAAUGGGGGGAAACCCUGAUGCAGCGACGCCGCGUGAGCGAUGAAGUAUUUCGGUAUGUAAAGCUCUAUCAGCAGGGAAGAAGAUGACGGUACCUGACUAAGAAGCCCCGGCUAACUACGUGCCAGCAGCCGCGGUAAUACGUAGGGGGCAAGCGUUAUCCGGAUUUACUGGGUGUAAAGGGAGCGUAGACGGCACAGUAAGUCUGAUGUGAAAACCCAGGGCUCAACCCUGGGACUGCAUUGGAAACUAUUGGGCUAGAGUGUCGGAGGGGCAGGCGGAAUUCCUAGUGUAGCGGUGAAAUGCGUAGAUAUUAGGAGGAACACCAGUGGCGAAGGCGGCCUGCUGGACGAUGACUGACGUUGAGGCUCGAAAGCGUGGGGAGCAAACAGGAUUAGAUACCCUGGUAGU
This 423-nucleotide ribosomal RNA is filed under the name uncultured Lachnospiraceae bacterium. RNAcentral describes it as "bacterial SSU rRNA". It matches the Rfam family "Bacterial small subunit ribosomal RNA", at positions 355 to 794 of the family's 1533-position model. The record is from RNAcentral. Lineage: Bacteria; Bacillati; Bacillota; Clostridia; Lachnospirales; Lachnospiraceae.